UACCAGCACCCCGAGUGGUCGGGACGAUUAUUGGGCCUAAAGCAUCCGUAGCCGGUUCUACAAGUCUGAUGUGAAAGCACUCUGCUCAACAGAGUGAUGCCAUUGGAAACUACAAGGCUGGAGUCUGGCAGAGGUAGGCGGAAUUCCGGGUGGAGUGGUGAAAUGCGUAGAGAUCCGGAGGAACACCAGAGGCGAAGGCGGCCUACUGGGCCAGUACUGACGCUGAGCCGCGAAAGCCAGGGGAGCGAACGGG
RNAcentral lists this ribosomal RNA (253 nucleotides) under uncultured bacterium. RNAcentral's name for it is "partial 16S ribosomal RNA". The stretch from base 27 to 253 matches the Rfam family "Bacterial small subunit ribosomal RNA", at positions 550 to 776 of the family's 1533-position model. The record is from RNAcentral.